This 557-nucleotide ribosomal RNA is filed under the name uncultured bacterium. RNAcentral describes it as "bacterial SSU rRNA". It matches the Rfam family "Bacterial small subunit ribosomal RNA", at positions 102 to 694 of the family's 1533-position model. The record is from RNAcentral.
ACGGGUGAGUAACGCGUGGGAAUCUACCCAUCUCUGCGGAAUAGCUCUGGGAAACUGGAAUUAAUACCGCAUACGCCCUACGGGGGAAAGAUUUAUCGGGGAUGGAUGAGCCCGCGUUGGAUUAGCUAGUUGGUGGGGUAAAGGCCUACCAAGGCGACGAUCCAUAGCUGGUCUGAGAGGAUGAUCAGCCACAUUGGGACUGAGACACGGCCCAAACUCCUACGGGAGGCAGCAGUGGGGAAUAUUGGACAAUGGGUGCAAGCCUGAUCCAGCCAUGCCGCGUGAGUGAUGAAGGCCUUAGGGUUGUAAAGCUCUUUCACCGAUGAAGAUAAUGACGGUAGUCGGAGAAGAAGCCCCGGCUAACUUCGUGCCAGCAGCCGCGGUAAUACGAAGGGGGCUAGCGUUGUUCGGAAUUACUGGGCGUAAAGCGCACGUAGGCGGAUAUUUAAGUCAGGGGUGAAAUCCCGCAGCUCAACUGCGGAACUGCCUUUGAUACUGGGUAUCUUGAGUAUGGAAGAGGUAAGUGGAAUUCCGAGUGUAGAGGUGAAAUUCGUAGA